AUUAUCUUAAUGAUCCUCCUAUGAGGAUGAAAUUUUAUAUCAAUUUUUUUUGAAAAAAUCAUCUCUUAUUUGCAAACGAUUUUUUAUUGUCUACAUAAUAUUCCAUAGUGUAGAUGUGCAUCUUGGUACAAUGUGGACAAGAAGUACAGCCCCCCAGGCCUCUGCCUCUCUAUCAGGCAUAAGAUGGGUCCCUGUUCCAGGGGAAGCACCUGGUACUCCAGAAAUUUCUCUCUUGAAGCAGAUGUCAGGCAGACCUGAGACCUGGCCUCUGACAGAAACCUGGGUCUCCUUGAGGACACAGCUCCCUCUGAAGUUCUCUCUUGGGGUGUUUCCUCUGCCAUGGACCUUGUACUCCUGGGCCUGGAGGUGGGUGGUGUCCUUACUCCUCAUUGCUGCUCUCAGAUCUUUGUUCCUCCCUCUUUCCCAAACAUCUUCAGGGGUGAAUCUUCUGUCAUCAGAUUAGAGCCCCUACUCCCCUCACUGUACGUAUUCCCUAUGGACCCCCAGACCAUUCCCCUCAUUCCUCGACUCUUUUAGUUCCUGGCUAAAGAGUCUCUAGCAGUGCUAUCUCCUUGAUCCUUGGUGAUUUCAACAUAAGAUGUGUAGGAUGGAUAAUGGUCCCCAAAGUUUUUCAUGUUCUAAUCCUUGGAACCUGUGAGUUAGAUGCCUUACAUGGUAAAAGGUGCUUUCCUGAUGUAAUUAAGGUUAAAGACCUUAAAAUUUGGAGACUAUCCUGGAUUAUCUGGGUUGGCCCAAUAAAAUCACAUAAGUCCUUAAAAGCAGAGAAUUUUCUCUGGAUGGAGUCAUAGAGAUGCAGCAGAAGAGAAAUCAGAGAAAUUCCAAUGUGGGAAGGAUUGCUGCUGCUGGUUAUGAGAUGUAGAGGGCCACAUGUGAGACCUGAGAGAGGCCUAUAGUUGCUGAAGGUGGUUCCAGCUGAGAGAUGGCAAGGAAAUAGGAACCUCAGUCCUAUAUCUGCAAGGAUCUGAAUUCAGACAACAACCUGAAUGAGCUUGGAAGUAGAUUCUUCCAGAGUUCCCAUUAAGGAACACAGACUUGCCGACACCUUGAUCUUAGCCCAGUGAGAACAUGUCUGACUUGUAACCUACAUAACCAUUUUUAUGGCAGCUAUAGAAACCCAUACAGCAGAGAGGAUGGUCUCACUCCCUGGCCUCUCAGUUCCCUGAACUCCUCUCCUCCAUAACCUUCUACUCUGCUCUCCCUGGGCCCCCACUCCCUUGCAUCCCCUAUGUCUUGUCAUUGCCAAUAACCCAGCCCUUCCAUAGUCUCCAUUUCAUGCUUUUCACUCUCUGACGUCCAUCUCUCCUACUCAUUUCCUUGCAGGGUGGGCUAAGCUCCGGAAACAUUGAUACCAUUAUUUUUUCACAUAUUUAGCAGACAUUGUCCCAGAAAUCACAUUGACACCCACAGCAUCAAUCAUGUCCCCUAUAUAGUGGGAGUCUAUAGAGGCCAGGUAAUAAAUAGAGUCUGGACAAGUCUGGCUCGCAAUAUGAUCAGUGGGUGCAUAGACCCACCCUGUAGUUAUUGCCCCAUUUCCCAAGUACAGAAUUGGCAUCAAUACAUUUGAUAGUUGGAGUAAACUCCACACUGGGUUCCUGGUCUGUGGAGUAAGGGUUCUCUUUGUGCUGAAGGCCAAAGGAAACCUCUGAAACUGGCCCCAUCCUGGCCAAAUCAAAAAUGAUACUGUGUCCCAGGGGCAGGUAUUGUGGAGGUUUUGCAGGUAUUGUAGGGCUUAGCACCACCAUUAGAGACCUGAUGGAUCCAGGGGUCUUGGUGGUAUUACCUCUUAUCUCCUUUUAAUUCAGCAAUCUGUCCCUGCAGAAACCUAAAGAAUGUAUGAGCUACUGUGGUCCUGAUGCAGCUGCUGUGCUGGAUGUGACAUCACUGCUAGAGCAGGUUAGAUUCCUGAUGUUCAGGGUUUUCAAGAUUGUUACCCACUGUAGUUAAUGAACAAAAAGGAACCUCUCGAUGAAAACCUUCUCUACC
Molecule: long non-coding RNA, 2004 nt
Organism: Diceros bicornis minor
Lineage: Eukaryota; Metazoa; Chordata; Mammalia; Perissodactyla; Rhinocerotidae
Exons: 3
Source: RefSeq, a predicted model, not a curated record